Molecule: ribosomal RNA, 253 nt
Filed under: uncultured bacterium
Lineage: Bacteria
Description: partial 16S ribosomal RNA
Rfam family: Bacterial small subunit ribosomal RNA
Source: RNAcentral
UACGAGUGGUGCAAGCGUUAUUCGGAUUUACUGGGCGUAAAGGGUGUGUAGGCGGCAAAUCAAGUCCAUUGUUAAAGAUCUCGGCCUAACCGGGAAAGUGCGAUGGAAACUGAUUUGAUAGAGAUUGGAAGAGAGAAGUGGAAUUCUCGGAGUAGCGGUAAAAUGCGUAGAUAUCGAGAGGAACACCGAUGGCGAAGGCAGCUUCUUGGUCCACAUCUGACGCUGAUACACGAAAGCGUGGGGAGCAAACAGG